RNAcentral lists this ribosomal RNA (671 nucleotides) under Escherichia coli. RNAcentral describes it as "partial 23S ribosomal RNA". It matches the Rfam family "Bacterial large subunit ribosomal RNA", at positions 699 to 1366 of the family's 2925-position model. The record is from RNAcentral. Lineage: Bacteria; Pseudomonadati; Pseudomonadota; Gammaproteobacteria; Enterobacterales; Enterobacteriaceae.
GUUGCAGGGUAUAGACCCGAAACCCGGUGAUCUAGCCAUGGGCAGGUUGAAGGUUGGGUAACACUAACUGGAGGACCGAACCGACUAAUGUUGAAAAAUUAGCGGAUGACUUGUGGCUGGGGGUGAAAGGCCAAUCAAACCGGGAGAUAGCUGGUUCUCCCCGAAAGCUAUUUAGGUAGCGCCUCGUGAAUUCAUCUCCGGGGGUAGAGCACUGUUUCGGCAAGGGGGUCAUCCCGACUUACCAACCCGAUGCAAACUGCGAAUACCGGAGAAUGUUAUCACGGGAGACACACGGCGGGUGCUAACGUCCGUCGUGAAGAGGGAAACAACCCAGACCGCCAGCUAAGGUCCCAAAGUCAUGGUUAAGUGGGAAACGAUGUGGGAAGGCCCAGACAGCCAGGAUGUUGGCUUAGAAGCAGCCAUCAUUUAAAGAAAGCGUAAUAGCUCACUGGUCGAGUCGGCCUGCGCGGAAGAUGUAACGGGGCUAAACCAUGCACCGAAGCUGCGGCAGCGACGCUUAUGCGUUGUUGGGUAGGGGAGCGUUCUGUAAGCCUGUGAAGGUGUGCUGUGAGGCAUGCUGGAGGUAUCAGAAGUGCGAAUGCUGACAUAAGUAACGAUAAAGCGGGUGAAAAGCCCGCUCGCCGGAAGACCAAGGGUUCCUGUCCAACGUU